GGGGGUAUAGCUCAGUGAUAGAGCGUGUGCUUGGUGUGCACGAGAUCCUGGGUUCAAUCCCCAGUGCCCCCC
This is a transfer RNA of Camelus ferus (Wild Bactrian camel), 72 nucleotides long. It matches the Rfam family "tRNA". Rfam says of the family: Transfer RNA (tRNA) molecules are approximately 80 nucleotides in length. Their secondary structure includes four short double-helical elements and three loops (D, anti-codon, and T loops). The record is from Rfam. Lineage: Eukaryota; Metazoa; Chordata; Mammalia; Artiodactyla; Camelidae.